This 253-nucleotide ribosomal RNA is filed under the name uncultured prokaryote. RNAcentral's name for it is "partial 16S ribosomal RNA". It matches the Rfam family "Bacterial small subunit ribosomal RNA", at positions 525 to 777 of the family's 1533-position model. The record is from RNAcentral.
ACGUAGGUGGCAAGCGUUGUCCGGAUUUACUGGGCGUAAAGAGCGCGCAGGCGGUCGUUCAAGUCGCGUGUGAAAGCCCCCGGCUCAACUGGGGAGGGUCACGCGAUACUGAUCGACUCGAAGGCAGGAGAGGGUAGUGGAAUUCCCGGUGUAGCGGUGAAAUGCGUAGAUAUCGGGAGGAACAUCAGUGGCGAAGGCGGCUACCUGGCCCAAUACUGACACUCAGGUGCGACAGCGUGGGGAGCAAACAGGA